CGUGGGAUAUCUGCAGUGACUGUGUUGACAAAGAUUAUCAUUGCACUUUCAUGUGGCAGACUGGAGGGUAGAAAUGUGAUUCGGGGACCAGGGAUGAAGGAGGGACGCUGUCUGUGUGAGCACGUUCUCUCCUCUGUGUCCUCUGUGCUUACCUUUGAAUUGGUUGUUUUGCCUUUAUUUAUUAAACUUGAAGAAUAAUUUAGGCUCAGUCCAUUUAAGAGUUUGGAUAUAAACCAAAAUGAUGAAAGAUGUGGAAGUGUGAAAAGAAACCUCAAGAAUACAAAUGAAACAGCGUGGAUCCAGCUUUGGAGAGCAGGAGAAAAGCAUGAACAUCAUGCAGAGCUUGACUGCCUUGAGAUCAAAUGGAGCAGUAUUGGGAUAAUCCAAAUUUGCCAGCUGUUUUGCUGAUUAUUUCUGGGAGCAAUUAAAAAAAUCUUGAGACGAUGAAUUGUGUGUGCAGCACCUCAUGGGCACAGAUGUGACCUCCUGCAGCA
Molecule: long non-coding RNA, 494 nt
Organism: Manacus vitellinus (golden-collared manakin)
Lineage: Eukaryota; Metazoa; Chordata; Aves; Passeriformes; Pipridae
Exons: 3
Source: RefSeq, a predicted model, not a curated record